RNAcentral lists this transfer RNA (73 nucleotides) under Stegodyphus mimosarum. It matches the Rfam family "tRNA". From Rfam's summary of the family: Transfer RNA (tRNA) molecules are approximately 80 nucleotides in length. Their secondary structure includes four short double-helical elements and three loops (D, anti-codon, and T loops). Further hydrogen bonds mediate the characteristic L-shaped molecular structure. tRNAs have two regions of fundamental functional importance: the anti-codon, which is responsible for specific mRNA codon recognition, and the 3' end, to which the tRNAs corresponding amino acid is attached (by aminoacyl-tRNA synthetases). tRNAs cope with the degeneracy of the genetic code in two manners: having more than one tRNA (with a specific anti-codon) for a particular amino acid; and 'wobble' base-pairing, i.e. permitting non-standard base-pairing at the 3rd anti-codon position. The record is from Rfam by way of RNAcentral. Lineage: Eukaryota; Metazoa; Arthropoda; Arachnida; Araneae; Eresidae.
GCGUUAGUGGUGUAGUGGUACGCACGCUCGACGCGUAACCGAGAGGUCCGUGGUUCGAUUCCCGGCGAAGGCG